AUAAAGCUGACCGUUGCAAGUUGGAAACAGGACGGAAUUAAAGUGAAGCCAAUCUUGAAAAAAAAACAGAAAAGAAUGAAACACCAAUCGAUUAUAUACGGGAUGCUUGAUCACGGGUUUUUGGAUGACAUUUUGUUCAUUAAUAAUGAGAGCAAUCAUCAAUCGAUUUUUAUUUUUUUCUUUCCAAAAUGUUAUCCAUUCAUUUUCCAUGAACGCUGAGAUUUGAAAAAAACUCCGCAAGUGAAACAUCGGACGAUUUAAUUUCGUCGAAUAAUGGUAGAGUAAAAGCUGGGGA
RNAcentral lists this non-coding RNA (295 nucleotides) under Bacillus methanolicus MGA3. The record is from RNAcentral. Lineage: Bacteria; Bacillati; Bacillota; Bacilli; Caryophanales; Bacillaceae.